This 240-nucleotide ribosomal RNA is filed under the name uncultured Lactobacillus sp. RNAcentral describes it as "partial 16S ribosomal RNA". It matches the Rfam family "Bacterial small subunit ribosomal RNA", at positions 122 to 355 of the family's 1533-position model. Lineage: Bacteria; Bacillati; Bacillota; Bacilli; Lactobacillales; Lactobacillaceae. The record is from RNAcentral.
UAACCUGCCCAAGAGAUCGGGAUAACACCUGGAAACAGAUGCUAAUACCGGAUAACAACAGAUGAUGCCUAUCAACUGUUUAAAAGAUGGUUCUGCUAUCACUCUUGGAUGGACCUGCGGUGCAUUAGCUAGUUGGUAGGGUAACGGCCUACCAAGGCGAUGAUGCAUAGCCGAGUUGAGGGACUGAUCGGCCACAUUGGGACUGAGACACGGCCCAAACUCCUACGGGAGGCAGCAGCA